UGGGGAAUUUUGGACAAUGGGCGCAAGCCUGAUCCAGCCAUGCCGCGUGCGGGAAGAAGGCCUUCGGGUUGUAAACCGCUUUUGUCAGGGAAGAAAUCUUCUGAGUUAAUACCUCGGGAGGAUGACGGUACCUGAAGAAUAAGCACCGGCUAACUACGUGCCAGCAGCCGCGGUAAUACGCAGGGUGCAAGCGUUAAUCGGAAUUACUGGGCGUAAAGCGUGCGCAGGCGGUUUUGUAAGACAGAGGUGAAAUCCCCGGGCUCAACCUGGGAACUGCCUUUGUGACUGCAAGGCUUGAGUGCGGCAGAGGGGGAUGGAAUUCCGCGUGUAGCAGUGAAAUGCGUAGAUAUGCGGAGGAACACCGAUGGCGAAGGCAAUCCCCUGGGCCUGCACUGACGCUCAUGCACGAAAGCGUGGGGAGCAAACAGGAUUAGAUACCCUGGUAGUCCACGCCCUAAACGAUGUCAACUGGUUGUUGGGAAGGUUCCUUCUCAGUAACGUAGCUAACGCGUGAAGUUGACCGCCU
Molecule: ribosomal RNA, 526 nt
Filed under: uncultured bacterium
Lineage: Bacteria
Description: partial 16S ribosomal RNA
Rfam family: Bacterial small subunit ribosomal RNA
Source: RNAcentral